UUGCCAGCCCGCUCAGAAACUUAAGAAGUUGACGGGGGCCCGCACAAGCGGAGGAGCAUGUGGUUUAAUUCGAUGAUACGCGAGGAACCUUACCUGGGCUCGAACGUAAGAUGACUGUAGGUGAAAGCUUACAUCUCUUCGGAGCAUUUUACGAGGUGCUGCAUGGUUGUCGUCAGCUCGUGCCGUGAGGUGUCGGGUUAAGUCCCAUAACGAGCGCAACCCUACCUUUAGUUGCCAUCAGGUAAUGCUGGGGACUCUAAAGGAACUGCCUACGCAAGUAGUGAGGAAGGCGGGGAUGACGUCAAAUCAGCACGGCCCUUACGUCCAGGGCUACACACGUGCUACAAUGGCCGAUACAGAGGGCAGCUACCUGGUGACAGGAUGCAAAUCUCCAAAGUCGGUCUCAGUUCGGAUCGGAGUCUGCAACCCGACUCCGUGAAGUUGGAUUCGCUAGUAAUCGCGCAUCAGCCAUGGCGCGGUGAAUACGUUCCCGGGCCUU
Molecule: ribosomal RNA, 499 nt
Filed under: uncultured Sphingobacteriales bacterium
Lineage: Bacteria; Pseudomonadati; Bacteroidota; Sphingobacteriia; Sphingobacteriales
Description: bacterial SSU rRNA
Rfam family: Bacterial small subunit ribosomal RNA
Source: RNAcentral